UACGUAGGGACCAAGCGUUGUUCGGAUUUACUGGGCGUAAAGGGCGCGUAGGCGGCAAUUCAAGUCAGCUGUGAAAUCUCCGGGCUUAACUCGGAACGGUCAAGUGAUACUGUCGGACUAGAGUACAGAAGGGGCAACUGGAAUUCUCGGUGUAGCGGUGAAAUGCGUAGAUAUCGAGAGGAACACCUGCGGCGAAGGCGGGUUGCUGGGCUGAUACUGACGCUGAGGCGCGAAAGCCCAGGGGAGCGAACGGG
Molecule: ribosomal RNA, 254 nt
Filed under: uncultured bacterium
Lineage: Bacteria
Description: partial 16S ribosomal RNA
Rfam family: Bacterial small subunit ribosomal RNA
Source: RNAcentral